This 442-nucleotide ribosomal RNA is filed under the name Ditylum brightwellii. RNAcentral's name for it is "partial Bacterial large subunit ribosomal RNA". It matches the Rfam family "Bacterial large subunit ribosomal RNA", at positions 2482 to 2925 of the family's 2925-position model. Lineage: Eukaryota; Bacillariophyta; Thalassiosirophyceae; Lithodesmiales; Lithodesmiaceae. The record is from RNAcentral.
CUGAUCUCCCCCGAGCGUCCAUAGCGGCGGGGAGGUUUGGCACCUCGAUGUCGGCUCAUCGCAUCCUGGGGCUGGAGAAGGUCCCAAGGGUUUGGCUGUUCGCCAAUGAAAGCGGUACGCGAGCUGGGUUCAGACCGUCGUGAGACAGGUCGGUCCCUAUCUGCCGUGGGCGUGGGAAGCUUGAGGAGGGUCGCCCCUAGUACGAGAGGAUUGGGGCGGACCGACCUCUGGUGUGCCGGCUGUCCCGCUCGGGGCAUCGCCGGGUAGCCAGGUCGGGAAAGGAUAAGCGCUGAAGGCAUCUAAGCGCGAAGCCCUCUCCGAGACGAGGCUUCCGGACUCAAUCGAGUCGAAGGCUCCUGGAAGACGACCAGGUCGAUGGGCUGGAUGUGCACGGCGGGCGACCGUCGCAGCGGACCAGUCCCAACAGCCGAGCGACUUGACC